Molecule: RNA transcript, 2779 nt
Organism: Papaver somniferum (opium poppy)
Lineage: Eukaryota; Viridiplantae; Streptophyta; Magnoliopsida; Ranunculales; Papaveraceae
Gene name: PAN domain-containing protein At5g03700-like
Exons: 3
Source: RefSeq, a predicted model, not a curated record
CAUAAACAAAUGUCUCUAUUUAUCUCCUCUUCUCAAGUGCAUCGUCGUCUUCUUAUACUGUAACAUUUCUUAUCUGGUUGCUCAUAGUUCUUAAUCCAUUCCACCAUGAAAACACUCACUAGCUCCUCCGGUCAAAUUCAUCUUCAUCUUCUUCUUAUCACUAUUCUUCUCUCUUUGAACAUAGUCAUACAAGUAAGAUCAGAAACCCCACAAGAACUACCCAAAGGUUUCACAGCAACACCAGACUCAUCCAUAUCUUCAUUCCAACCACUUCUUAAUGAUCCAACAGGUGAUUUCUCACUUGGGUUCCUCAGAAUUGAGGACUCCAAACUUUCUCUUGCUAUAUUACAUGUACCUUCUUCUGAACCCAUUUGGACAGCUAAUACAACUGGUUCACUAAGAUGGUCUAAAGCUACAAAGCUUUCCUUUAAUGGAAGUUUAGUCUUGUCUGAUUCACAUUCAAAUGUAUUUUGGUCAACUAGAAGUGUUGGUGAUAGAGUUCUACUUAUGCACGACUCAAAUCUUCAAGUGCAAAAGCUUUCAGGCAAGAAUGAGCAAUCUAUAGUUUGGCAAAGUUAUGAUUUUCCAUUUGAUACACUUAUUGAGAGUCAGAAUUUUACAGUGUCCAUGUCUCUUGUUUCUAGAAAUGGGUUGUAUUCUAUGAGAUUAGGAGAUACUUAUUUUGGUUUAUACUCGAAAGUUAAUAUGAAUUCGACACAGCUGUAUUGGAAACAUGGAGCUAUGGAAGCAAAGGCAGAGAUUGUUGAAGGAAAUGGUCCAAUUUAUGCAAGAAUUAGCUCAAAUGGAUAUCUGGGUAUGUAUCAAACUUUAAAAGCUCCAGUAGAUAUUCUUCCUUUCGACAGUUUCCAAAGACCGGUACCGGGAAUCCGAAAACUAAAGCUAGAAUCAGAUGGCAAUCUCAGAGGUUAUUACUGGAGUGGAACAACUUGGGUGUUGGAUUUUAAAGCAAUUUCUGACGUCUGUGAGCUUCCGAAUGCUUGUGGUUCUUAUGGUCUUUGUCAACCCGGCAAGGGUUGUUCAUGUCUGGAUAACAAGACUCAGUACAAUUCAGGAGAGUGUUUUCCACAUAAAACUGGGGAUUCCUGUAGUAAAAAUGAAGUGUUAGGGAAAGGAUACUGGAUUUUAAGAAGGAAAGGUGUUGAAGUGCCUUACAAAGAAUGGAUGGGGUUUGAAAAGAUGGAGACAUUGAAUGAUUGUGAGGAUUCUUGUGAAAGAAACUGUAGUUGUUGGGGAGCUGUUUAUAAUAAUGCAACCAAGUUUUGUUACAAGAUUCAGUACCCAAUUAAUAGUUUAGUUAGUGAUGGAGAUGAAGGUAAAUCAGGGUUCUUUAAAGUGAAGAAUGAAGAGAAGAAAAGAGUUGUUAGCGUUGCAGUUGGUCUUGGUUUGAUAAUUGGAGCAAUAAUAGUUUUAGUUUUAGUUUUAGUUGUUGGGUUUGUAAUUUUCAGUGUCUGGAGAAGAAGAAAGAAUCAUAGUGAUAGAUUAUUGGAGGAUGGAUUAACUCCUGGCUCUUACAAAGGUUUAGAUUCUGAAAGUUUUCGAUCUGUGGAGCUCAGUCAACAGCGAAGCUAGUGCAACCGUUAGCUCACACUCGAUCAGAUUAUAGGAAGCCCCGACUGACGUCCAUCGGAGAUGAUUUUUUCUUCUUCAUAUCAAAACAUCUCAAAAUGGAAAGACUGGAAGGGGGCAUUACACAUCUAUGAUUUGAUGUAUACUUUUACCUGCUCAAAUUAGUAGACAUCUUAAUUGGGCUCUAUACAUUUGACUCCAAAGGCUUGACAAAAAUAGACGGGAGGAGGGCCCUGUUCUCCCAACUUCCAGGUGUUCGAGAUCUGAAAAAUAGGAAAAAUAAGAAUAACAAACACCUGCAGAGUAUUUCCUUGAUCGGGUUCAGAGAUAGAUCUCUGAUCUAUGCUGCAGAACUUGUCUUGUGAUGCAAAAACAAAACCAGCCAGUACAGUCAACGAACAAAAGCAUAAAUCUCAGAUUUACAUAACUUUAUAAGGGAGACAGAAUCUACAAUGUAUUGUACUAUUUAAGCAAAGGAGUUCAAGAAGUUAGCAGCUGAAAAGUACUGUACUAUAGAGCUGAAAUAAAUAACUGGAAGGACAAUGACAGAAUCAUCGAGAUAUCAUUUGGAAACACCAAAACCAAUUCUUCAAGGGAACAUUUUCUACUGUUAGAAUCAAUGAUAGAAGAAAAUUUUCAACACAUGAAAAAGAAAAAUUGCAGCUGCAAACUUUUUCAUCUUAACCCAUAUGGUGUAUCUUCUACCGGCAGAGAAAACGAAGGCACAAAACGACACAUGCUUUGUGGAUUGGCAAUCUAUUUUCAAAGAGCACCUCCAAAAGUUUAGUCUGUUUGAUACUUCAAAUUUAUAAUGACCACAUAGUCCCUAAAAUUUCCUUUGUAAUCAACAACUCGGGAACUGAUUCAAUAAGGAUUUUGUUGCCAUUGUUGAAGCCAGAAAGUUAAAUCAUUUAAAGUAUCUCACAGUUGUUGAUGUUUCAAACAUGGGUUUACUAUAACUCGAUGCUACGAGACUCGUUGAAUAGUUCACGUCCUUUACACUAAGUGAUGUAUUUCACUCGAGCUCUUUACAGCUUUACAAUUUCAAGGUUGCAUCCAUCUUUUCUCCUAUUCCUCUUUUUGAAUUCUUCGUCUAGCAGAAAUUUCUCCCCUUAAAAUGUAUCAACCAGCACACUUUUGUGGACUAGACAUCCUUUCUACACAGGAAACUCUUAAAGAAAAUUCAAAACCA